This 1048-nucleotide ribosomal RNA is filed under the name Alternaria sp. RNAcentral's name for it is "SSU rRNA". It matches the Rfam family "Eukaryotic small subunit ribosomal RNA", at positions 63 to 1121 of the family's 1831-position model. The record is from RNAcentral. Lineage: Eukaryota; Fungi; Ascomycota; Dothideomycetes; Pleosporales; Pleosporaceae.
GUAUAAGCAAUUAUACCGUGAAGCUGCGAAUGGCUCAUUAAAUCAGGUAGCGUUUAGUUGAUAAUACCUUACUACUUGGAUAACCGUGGUAAUUCUAGAGAUAAUACUUGGUGUACAUCCCGACUUCGGAAGGGAUGUGUUUAUUAGAUAAAAAACCAAUGCCCUUCGGGGCUUUUUGGUGAUUCAUGAUAACUUUACGGAUCGCAUAGCCUUGCGCUGGCGACGGUUCAUUCAAAUUUCUGCCCUAUCAACUUUCGAUGGUAAGGUAUUGGCUUACCAUGGUUUCAACGGGUAACGGGGAAUUAGGGUUCGAUUCCGGAGAGGGAGCCUGAGAAACGGCUACCACAUCCAAGGAAGGCAGCAGGCGCGCAAAUUACCCAAUCCCGACACGGGGAGGUAGUGACAAUAAAUACUGAUACAGGGCUCUUUUGGGUCUUGUAAUUGGAAUGAGUACAAUUUAAACCUCUUAACGAGGAACAAUUGGAGGGCAAGUCUGGUGCCAGCAGCCGCGGUAAUUCCAGCUCCAAUAGCGUAUAUUAAAGUUGUUGCAGUUAAAAAGCUCGUAGUUGAAACUUGGGCCUGGCUGGCGGGUCCGCCUCACCGCGUGCACUCGUCCGGCCGGGCCUUCCUUCUGAAGAACCUCAUGCCCUUCACUGGGCGUGCUGGGGAAUCAGGACUUUUACUUUGAAAAAAUUAGAGUGUUCAAAGCAGGCCUUUGCUCGAAUACGUUAGCAUGGAAUAAUAAAAUAGGGCGUGCGUUUCUAUUUUGUUGGUUUCUAGAGACGCCGCAAUGAUUAACAGGAACAGUCGGGGGCAUCAGUAUUCAGUUGUCAGAGGUGAAAUUCUUGGAUUUACUGAAGACUAACUACUGCGAAAGCAUUUGCCAAGGAUGUUUUCAUUAAUCAGUGAACGAAAGUUAGGGGAUCGAAGACGAUCAGAUACCGUCGUAGUCUUAACCGUAAACUAUGCCGACUAGGGAUCGGGCGAUGUUCUUUUUCUGACUCGCUCGGCACCUUACGAGAAAUCAAAGUUUUUGGGUUCUGGGGGA